GCUCAUUUCUUCUUAUCCGUACUCUCGCCCUCCGCACUAUAAAUAGGGUACUCCGGUUGCAGCGUCACCACGCACUUCACUUGCAUAGUCUUCUUCCCUUGAGAUUUCUCUGGUGAUCCACGAGCCUUGCAUGAUGAAAAUGGCUUCCUCUAGGGUUUUUCUCCUGUGCGUCCUCCUGUUGGCCGUUGUUGUUCUCAUGGCCGCCCAAGUCUCAGCUCGUGACCUGGCUGAGUCAAAGGAGGAGCUUGAAGGAGGCAAGCCAGGUGACGAAGAAGGCGGUGACGCCGGUGGG
Molecule: long non-coding RNA, 292 nt
Organism: Rhodamnia argentea
Lineage: Eukaryota; Viridiplantae; Streptophyta; Magnoliopsida; Myrtales; Myrtaceae
Exons: 3
Source: RefSeq, a predicted model, not a curated record